CUGGCGUAUAUACAAAAUUUAGUCCUGGUAUCUAUGAUGAGUUUAUUUACAUAAUUAAACCCAAUUUCUAAAAGAAAAAUAUUAUUGUCUGAAAUAUUGUAAGCACAGUUAUAAUAAUAAAAGUCUAAGUCCACGUAAUCUUCUUUUUGUCAUCCAUUUCCACGUCUAAUUCUGUUGGGUUUUUUUUCUCGACCUCUAUUCUCUUUGAACUUCCUUCUCAAGUACUACAAAUUGCCUUGUCUGGGUGGCUGAUGUUAAAUGCACGACCUUCCUUUCCUCCUCUAUUUGUGUAAAUAUCUGUUGCAUCAUCUGUGUUGGCGUUCCAUUUUGUUUUUAAGUGCAGAAUGAUGGAUCUCAUAAUUAUCCAUGUGGUUGUCAGUUUAUACGAAGUGCCAUCAGGCAAAAUACAGGUUUGGUGGUUCCGUACAGCACUAUAUUCACUGGGCAAUACUGUAUUUGUCAGUCUUACUUGCCUUUUGAUAACUCAUAUUCAUAUUAUCUGGAGGUUGGGGCCCGAAAUAUGUCUCAGUUAAAAGAACAGCACAUUAUUUAUUCAUUUGUUAAAGUCAGUUUUUUACAAGAGCUAAUACUUUGAU
RNAcentral lists this long non-coding RNA (596 nucleotides) under Mytilus galloprovincialis (Mediterranean mussel). Lineage: Eukaryota; Metazoa; Mollusca; Bivalvia; Mytilida; Mytilidae. The record is from RNAcentral.